CCUACGGGAGGCAGCAGUGGGGAAUAUUGGGCAAUGGGCGCAAGCCUGACCCAGCAACGCCGCGUGAAGGAAGAAGGCUUUCGGGUUGUAAACUUCUUUUCUUAGGGACGAAGCACGUGACGGUACCUGAGGAAUAAGCCACGCCUAACUACGUGCCAGCAGCCGCGGUAAUACGUAGGUGGCAAGCGUUAUCCGGAUUUACUGGGUGUAAAGGGCGUGUAGGCGGGAAGGCAAGUCAGAUGUGAAAACCAUGGGCUCAACCUGUGGCCUGCAGUGGAAACUGGUUUUCUUGAGUACUGGGGAGGCAGACGGAAUUCGUCGUGUAGCGGUGAAAUGCGUAGAUAUGAGGAGGAACACCAGUGGCGAAGGCAGUCUGCUGGACAGCAACUGACGCUGAGGCGCGAAAGCGUGGGGAGCAAACAGGAUUAGAUACCCCGGUAGUC
RNAcentral lists this ribosomal RNA (443 nucleotides) under uncultured bacterium. RNAcentral describes it as "partial 16S ribosomal RNA". It matches the Rfam family "Bacterial small subunit ribosomal RNA", at positions 338 to 795 of the family's 1533-position model. The record is from RNAcentral.